This 1338-nucleotide ribosomal RNA is filed under the name Daphnia similis. RNAcentral describes it as "16S ribosomal RNA". The stretch from base 891 to 1251 matches the Rfam family "Archaeal large subunit ribosomal RNA", at positions 2148 to 2718 of the family's 2987-position model. Lineage: Eukaryota; Metazoa; Arthropoda; Branchiopoda; Diplostraca; Daphniidae. The record is from RNAcentral.
CGUGCAAAUCGAAUUUUGUUAAGAUUUUUACUUAGCUAAAUUUAAUGGGAGAAACAUCUUUAAUUUUAAAUGUAAAAGUAUGUGUUAAUGAAAUUAUGAAAGAGCUUAUAGUUAAAAGUACUGUGAAGGAUAGUUGAAAGAUUUUGGUUUUAUUAAAAAGAAGAUAUUAAAAAUCGUACCUUGUGUAUCAGGGUUAAGUAAAAUUAUAUUAAUAUAGGUAUUUCCCGAAAUUAAGCGAGUAAUGUUUUUAGUAAAUUAAAUGUGGUAAACUUUUUUUAAAUAAUAACAUGGGGUGAAAGGCCAUUCGAGCUUAUUUAUCUGGUUUCAUGAAAAAUGAAUUCAAUUCAGUUAGUUUUAGUUUAAAGUUUUAUUUUUAAUUAAGAAUUAAAAUUAAAAAAGUUUUAGAGGGAUGAGCUUCUAUAACCAUCAGUAUAAUAAAAAUAUUUAAUUUAGAAUGACUUUAGGUUUAAUAAUGACCUAAAAUAUAAAGUUUGUUAUAAUUUACAUUUUUAUUAAAAAUAUUUUUGUUUAUUUACUUUUUUAUCAUGAUAUUCAAAUCAACAAUAAAUUUUAAGUAAUAAUGCUUAAAUUAGUAGAGUAAUUGUGUUUUUUAAAUUAUUUAAAUAAUAUUAAAUUAUAUUAAAUUAAAGUUAUUUUAAAGGAACUCGGCAAAUAUAUUUUCCGCAUGUUUAUCAAAAACAUCUCCUCUUGACAUAUUAGAGGUACCGUCUGCUCAAUGCAAUUUGUAAAUAGCCGCAGUAUUCUGACUGUGCUAAGGUAGCAUAAUCAUUAGUCUUUUAAUUGAAGGCUGGUAUGAAUGACGAGACGAGAAAAUAGCUGUCUCUAAGAUAUAUCUUGAAUUUUAUUUCUAAGUGAAAAAGCUUAGAUAAUUUUAAAGGACGAUCAGACCCUAUGGAGCUUUAUUUAUUUUAAGUUUAAAUUUAUUUUAAAUUAUUGAAUGAAAAAUAAAUUUUGUUGGGGCGACAAAGAGUAAAAAAUAUCACUCUUUUUUAAAAACAAUUAUAUUUGGAGUAUUGAUCCUUAAAGUAAGAUUAAAAGACUAAGUUACCCUAGGGAUAACAGCGUAAUCUUUUUGGAGAGUUCAAAUCGAUAAAAAGGUUUGCGACCUCGAUGUUGGAUUAAGAGAUUAGCAAGGUGCAGAAGUUUUGCUGGAAAGUCUGUUCGACUUUUAAUCUCUUACAUGAUCUGAGUUCAAACCGGCGUAAGCCAGGUUGGUUUCUAUCCUUAAAAUUAAAUUAAUCUUUUUAGUACGAAAGGAUUAAAAGGUUAAGAUUAUUCUUAAAAUAAAGAAAAAAAAUAAAAUAUUAAUAUAACGGU